AUCCAGCUGACGAGUCCCCAAACAGGACGAAACGCACAUCCUGGAU
Molecule: non-coding RNA, 46 nt
Organism: Schistosoma margrebowiei
Lineage: Eukaryota; Metazoa; Platyhelminthes; Trematoda; Strigeidida; Schistosomatidae
Source: Rfam